Long non-coding RNA from Homo sapiens (human), 1099 nucleotides. NCBI's taxonomy places the organism in Eukaryota, Metazoa, Chordata, Mammalia, Primates, Hominidae. The record is from Ensembl.
ACGUGACCACGCCUACAGCCGAAGAGGAUGGGAAAAUGCGGCCCUGUUCCUGAACAGGAAGCGGAAGCAGGAAGGAACUGAGAACACCAGCAUCUGCUGCCGCCCUGAAUCAGCGUUAGCAUGUGGAGGCAACCUCAGCCCCCAGUUUUUGAAGAAGGUGAUUCAGAUUCAGACACAGGAAUUAUGGUGACGGUAGAAAUGGACUGGAAGGUUCGUUCCCCUUGCCCACCAAGACUCCAGAGCAGUUUCUUUCAGGGUGGAAACAGUCCCAACCUAGAAAGCUGAUCAGAAGACUCCCACCCACAUACCAGCAAUUGGUAUCUGCAUGGCUACGUACGCAGCUUCCUCUGAAUCCAGAAAUGCCUACUGUGAGCAAGACUGGAGGUUAUUGGUGCCACCCACGAGGCAGCAGCAUGCCACUUUCCAGAAGGACUGCCCUGUCCCUGUGGUUCCUGCUCACACCAGGAGGCAUCGGCGCCUCCAUUCCCUUGGUUCACACAUCAUCGAGAGACUUCACAACAGAUCAUCUGUGCAUUUAUCUGAAGAUAAUUACUGAGUAAUAGAUUACGGAUAGUAACUGCAUUCGCUAUUGGAGAGCAGUUUCUUCCUGUCACCAUAGAACUGGAUGGUCUCAAUCUGUUACAGGGGCUCGAGUGGAAGAGGAAAUUGAGGGGAUGAAAUAGUAUCAAGCGGAACAGAAAGACUGAAUCCACAAUCCACACAGAACAACACGUCUCAGGCUGGGCGUGGUGGCUCAUGCCUGCAGUCCCAGCACUUUCAGAGGCCAAGGUGGACAGGUUGCUUGAGCCUAGGAGUUUGAGACCAGCCUGGGUAACAUAGCGAGACUCCAUCUCUACAAAUAAUAAGAAAAAAAAUUAGCUGAGUGUGGUGGCACCCACCUGUGGUCCCAGCUACUGGGGAGGCUGAGGUGGGAGAAUUGCUUGAGCCUGGGUGGUUGAGGCUGCAGCGAGCUGUGACUACGCUACUGCAUUCCAGCCUGGGUGACAGAGCAAAACCCUAUCUCAAAAAUAAACAGUAAAAAUAAAAAUUGGCCUGCAGAUCAAACCAUUAAAAAACAUCUGUCCUACUGGUGUUUAAA